Molecule: ribosomal RNA, 468 nt
Filed under: uncultured bacterium
Lineage: Bacteria
Description: partial 16S ribosomal RNA
Rfam family: Bacterial small subunit ribosomal RNA
Source: RNAcentral
GACGAACGCUGGCGGCGUGCUUAACACAUGCAAGUCGAACGGAAAGGCCCUGCUUUUGUGGGGUGCUCGAUUGGCGAACGGGUGAGUAACACGUGAGUAACCUGCCCUUGACUUUGGGAUAACUUCAGGAAACUGGGGCUAAUACCGGAUAGGAGCUGCUGCUGCAUGGUGGGGGUUGGAAAGUGUCGGCGGUUGGGGAUGGACUCGCGGCUUAUCAGCUUGUUGGUGGGGUAGUGGCUUACCAAGGCUUUGACGGGUAGCCGGCCUGAGAGGGUGACCGGGCACAUUGGGACUAAGAUACGGCCCAGACUGCUACGGGAGGCAGCAGUGGGGAAUAUUGCACAAUGGGCGGAAGCAUGAUGCAGCAACGCCGCGUGCGGGAUGACGGCCUUCGGGUUGUAAACCGCUUUCGCCUGUGACGAAGCGUGAGUGACGGUAAUGGGUAAAGAAGCACCGGCUAACUACGUG